GGCCUGGUGGUCUAGUAGUAUGAUUCUUUCUUAGGGCGUGUGCGUGGGAGAAAAUGCUUACGUAAUUGGAGGCGGCCCCAGGUUCAAUUCCCGGCCAGGCCC
Molecule: non-coding RNA, 102 nt
Organism: Epithele typhae
Lineage: Eukaryota; Fungi; Basidiomycota; Agaricomycetes; Polyporales; Epitheliaceae
Source: the annotation of a RefSeq genome assembly